RNAcentral lists this transfer RNA (86 nucleotides) under Desulfobulbus propionicus. Its description in RNAcentral is "tRNA-Leu". It matches the Rfam family "tRNA". From Rfam's summary of the family: Transfer RNA (tRNA) molecules are approximately 80 nucleotides in length. Their secondary structure includes four short double-helical elements and three loops (D, anti-codon, and T loops). The record is from RNAcentral. Lineage: Bacteria; Pseudomonadati; Thermodesulfobacteriota; Desulfobulbia; Desulfobulbales; Desulfobulbaceae.
GCCCGGAUGGCGGAACUGGUAGACGCAAGGGACUUAAAAUCCCUCGGCCACUGGCUGUGCGAGUUCGAUUCUCGCUCCGGGCACCA